GGUGAUGGGAAGGAAGUGUGACAGUGAGCUCAAGUGGUGCGCAGCAGACAGAAUGAAAUGCGUUGAAUUCUCUGGCAUCGUAAACACAGGUCUUAAAGACAUCGCUAUUGAAAUGAAGAAAUGCAUACGAGCAGACCUUUGUAAAGAGACGAUAACUUACAUGGGUUUUCCAAUUGCUAACGGGAGUAAAAAUUGCAGAUCAGCCAUCAGGAAUGGGGCAUGGGUCAGACCCCCAACUCCCAUCUUCUUUGUUUUAUCUCUGGAGAAGCUGCUUCAUUGAGCUACAAGGGCCCAGCCAUCACCCUUUCUGAAUUAAACGUACCUUUUGGGGGGCUUA
This is a long non-coding RNA of Eptesicus fuscus (big brown bat), 337 nucleotides long. RefSeq lists it as uncharacterized. Lineage: Eukaryota; Metazoa; Chordata; Mammalia; Chiroptera; Vespertilionidae. The record is from RefSeq and is a predicted model, not a curated record. The transcript is spliced from 2 exons.